UACGUAGGUGGCAAGCGUUAUCCGGAUUUACUAGGUGUAAAGGGCGUGUAGGCGGGGACGCAAGUCAGAUGUGAAAACCACGGGCUCGACCUGUGGCCUGCAUUUGAAACUGUGUUUCUUGAGUACUGGAGAGGCAGACGGAAUUCCUAGUGUAGCGGUGAAAUGCGUAGAUAUUAGGAGGAACACCAGUGGCGAAGGCGGUCUGCUGGACAGUAACUGACGCUGAGGCGCGAAAGCGUGGGGAGCAAACAGG
Molecule: ribosomal RNA, 253 nt
Filed under: uncultured bacterium
Lineage: Bacteria
Description: partial 16S ribosomal RNA
Rfam family: Bacterial small subunit ribosomal RNA
Source: RNAcentral